GCUGUGGAGAGCAAAAACAAAGACGAGUAGAUAUUUUUAUCAAAAGUAUGUUCGUUGAAGCAGCAA
This 66-nucleotide non-coding RNA is filed under the name unclassified sequences. The record is from Rfam.